UCAAGGUGAGAGAUACGGAGGUAGAGCACUGAAUGUCCUAGGGGGUAUUGCACCUACCGAAGACUAUCAAACUCCGAAUGCCGUCAUCUUAUACUUGGGAGUCAGACUGUGGGUGAUAAGAUUCAUAGUCGAAAGGGCAACAGCCCAGAUCGUCAGCUAAGGUCCCUAAAUGUAAGUUAAGUGGUAAAGGAUGUGGGAUUGCACAGACAACCAGGAUGUUGGCUUAGAAGCAGCCACUCAUUCAAAGAGUGCGUAAUAGCUCACUGGUCGAGUGAUCCUGCGCCGAAGAUUUCCGGGGCUAAAACUUACUACCGAAGCUACGGCAUCAGUAAUGAUGGGUAGGGGAGCUUCCCAUACGGGUUGAAGCAUGACCGUAAGGACAUGUGGACAGUAUGGGAGUGAGAAUGUUGGCAUGAGUAGCGAGAUGUGGGUGAGAAUCCCACAGGCCGUAAACCCAAGGUUUCCAGGGGAAGGUUCGUCCGCCCUGGGUUAGUCGGGACCUAAGCUGAGGCCGAAAGGCGUAGGUGAUGGACAACAGGUUGAUAUUCCUGUACUACCGAUAACCGUUUGAGAGAAGGGAUGACACAGUAGGAUAAGCUAAGCACACUGUUGGUUAUGUGUGCCCAAGCAUUGAGGCAGUCAAAGUAGGCAAAUCCGCUUUGAUAAUGCUGGGAUGUGAUGGGGAGCGAAAUUUAGUAGCGAAGUAGCUGAUUUCACACUGUCAAGAAAAGUCUCUAUCGAGGUUAAAGGUACCCGUACCGCAAACCGACACAGGUGGGUGAGGAGAGUAUCCUAAGGCCAGCGAGAGAACUGUUGUUAAGGAACUCGGCAAAAUGACCCCGUAACUUAGGGAUAAGGGGUGCCACCAUCAGGUGGCCGCAGAGAAUAGGCCCAAGCGACUGUUUACCAAAAACAUAGGUUUCUGCUAAGUCGCAAGACGAUGUAUAGGAGCUGACGCCUGCCCGGUGCUGGAAGGUUAAGGGGAUCUGUUAGAGCAAUCGAAGCAGUGAACUUAAGCCCCAGUAAACGGCGGCCGUAACUAUAACGGUCCUAAGGUAGCGAAAUUCCUUGUCGGGUAAGUUCCGACCCGCACGAAAGGCGUAACGAUUUGGGCACUGUCUCAACAACAGACUCGGUGAAAUUGUAAUUCCGGUGAAGAUGCCGGAUACCUGCGACAGGACGGAAAGACCCCAUGGAGCUUUACUGUAGCUUGACAUUGGGUCUUGGUACUACAUGUACAGGAUAGGUGGGAGGCUUUGAAACCAGGACGCCAGUUUUGGCGGAGCCAUCCUUGGGAUACCACCCUUGUAGUACUGGGACUCUAACCAUAGGCCAUGAAUCUGGUCUUGGGACACUGUCAGGUGGGCAGUUUGACUGGGGCGGUCGCCUCCCAAAAGGUAACGGAGGCGCUCAAAGGUUCUCUCAGUACGGUCGGAAAUCGUACGUAGAGUGUAAAGGCAAAAGAGAGCUUGAUUGCAAGACAUACAGGUCGAGCAAGGAUGAAAAUCGGACUUAGUGAUCCGGUGGUUCUGCGUGGAAGGGCCAUCGCUCAACGGAUAAAAGCUACCCUGGGGAUAACAGGCUUAUCUCCCCCAAGAGUCCACAUCGACGGGGAGGUUUGGCACCUCGAUGUCGGCUCAUCACAUCCUGGGGCUGUAGUAGGUCCCAAGGGUUGGGCUGUUCGCCCAUUAAAGUGGUACGCGAGCUGGGUUCAGAACGUCGUGAGACAGUUCGGUCCCUAUCCGUCGCAGGCGUAGGAAAUUUGAGAAGACCUGUCCUUAGUACGAGAGGACCGGGAUGGACGUACCUCUGGUGUACCAGUUGUCCUGCCAAGGGCAUGGCUGGGUAGCUAUGUACGGAAUGGAUAAGCGCUGAAAGCAUCUAAGCGCGAAGCCAACUUCAAGAUAAGAUUUCCCACCGCAAGGGUAAGACCCCAGAAAGACUAUCUGGUUGA
RNAcentral lists this ribosomal RNA (1954 nucleotides) under Clostridioides difficile. Its description in RNAcentral is "bacterial LSU rRNA". It matches the Rfam family "Bacterial large subunit ribosomal RNA", at positions 882 to 2856 of the family's 2925-position model. The record is from RNAcentral. Lineage: Bacteria; Bacillati; Bacillota; Clostridia; Peptostreptococcales; Peptostreptococcaceae.